Molecule: ribosomal RNA, 255 nt
Filed under: uncultured bacterium
Lineage: Bacteria
Description: partial 16S ribosomal RNA
Rfam family: Bacterial small subunit ribosomal RNA
Source: RNAcentral
UACGGGGGGGAGCAAGCGUUGUUCGGAUUUACUGGGCGUAAAGGGCGCGUAGGCGGCCACCGCAAGUCGACUGUGAAAUCUCCGGGCUUAACCCGGAAAGGUCAGCCGAUACUGCGGGGCUAGAGUGCAGAAGGGGCAACUGGAAUUCUCGGUGUAGAGGUGAAAUUCGUAGAUAUCGAGAGGAACACCGGUGGCGAAGGCGGCCUUCUGGACAGUGACUGACGCUGAGACGCGAAAGCGUGGGGAGCAAACAGG